This 90-nucleotide transfer RNA is filed under the name Dreissena polymorpha. It matches the Rfam family "tRNA". From Rfam's summary of the family: Transfer RNA (tRNA) molecules are approximately 80 nucleotides in length. Their secondary structure includes four short double-helical elements and three loops (D, anti-codon, and T loops). Lineage: Eukaryota; Metazoa; Mollusca; Bivalvia; Myida; Dreissenidae. The record is from Rfam by way of RNAcentral.
GCCAGAAUAGCUCAGUUGGGAGAGCGUUAGACUGAAGUUGUUUACGCAACAGUCAUCUAAAGGCCCCCGGUUCAAUCCCGUAUUCCGGCA